RNAcentral lists this ribosomal RNA (113 nucleotides) under uncultured eukaryote. RNAcentral's name for it is "partial small subunit ribosomal RNA". It matches the Rfam family "Eukaryotic small subunit ribosomal RNA", at positions 1675 to 1785 of the family's 1831-position model. The record is from RNAcentral.
GUCGCUACUACCGAUUGAAUGGCUCAGUGAGGCCUUCGGACUGGCCCAGGGAGGUCGGCAACGACCACCCAGGGCCGGAAAGUUGGUCAAACUCGGUCAUUUAGAGGAAGUAA